This 136-nucleotide unclassified non-coding RNA is filed under the name uncultured marine crenarchaeote. RNAcentral describes it as "16S-23S intergenic spacer region". The record is from RNAcentral. Lineage: Archaea; Thermoproteati; Thermoproteota.
AGAAAGAAUUACGGAAGCACAUAAUCUUCGCAUCGCCAUCGAUGCAUUACAUCAUGAAAAUGAUGUAAGAAGGAUGUAGCCGACUACCGCACUAGUUCGGCAAUGAUCGUCAUGCAUGUGUCUUGUGUAAAUUGUG